GGAGGCUGAGGCAUGAGAAUCGCUUAAACCUCCGAGGCGGAGGCUGCAAUGAGCUGAGAUGGUACCACUGCACUCCAGCCUGGGUGACAGAGCUGGGUGGUGGCUCAAGAUAUGUUUUGUAAACCUGAAGAUUUGAGAUCAUAUAAGCCAAAUAGAAACUUAAUUGGCAUUCAUAACUUUUGGUUCUAGAGACUCCAUGAUCAACUAAGAGCCACCAAGCAUUUCCCAUGUAGACUAUUUUGACCAUGCUGACUCUACUGACACUGUGGUUACUGAAUUCAUUUUAUCUCUAGAAAUUAAUUCUUACUAAUGGAUGUCUGUCACUGUAAGAUCCUUCUAUCCUCUGAAAUAAGGAGAACAUUUUAACUUCAGUAGUUUAAACUAGUGUCCUAAACUAUAGCAUUCAAAAUGAGAUAAUAUGCUAAAGUAAUACACAAACCAAAAAUCCCAGUGGCUAACACAAAAAGUUUUUCUUACUCAUUUUACAUAUCCAGAGUAAGUCAGUAAUAGACGCAGACACACCCAGAGACCAAGGAUGAGUUGUGAUCUGUCUGCACACAUAGUUCACAAUGCCUGAAUGGAGCUGGCUUGAAAUCCUCUUGUUUAUGGCAGUACAUAUCGGUUAUGAUUCAAAAAAUAUAGCCCAUUUCCAAAAACCUGCAACAAAGAGAUACUUUCUCAGGUGAUUGUUCAGAUCAUUAUUCAUUACAAAGUGUCAGUUUUGUCUUUAUUGAUCCUCAUUAUUGUAAGAAAGUAUGUGGUCUUGUCUCCAUUCUAUUAAAACAACAUUGUAGAGAUUAGCACUGAGUCUUUCCAGCCAUAUGCAUCUGUUCAUUUCCGUCUCCAGCUUGAGUUUUUCUGUGUAUUACAAAAUAAGAAAACAAAAAUGACACAAUAAUCUAUUUUGUCUGGUUUUGCUCUUUAUUAGUAGAAAUAGACAAGUGAGGAGUUGGAGGAAGAAAUUGCUUCUGAUCUGUUUUAGAUACAGAUGAAACUCUCCCUCCCUCCCCGCCCCACCCAAUCUUUCUCUGUCUCCCUCCCUGAGCCUAUUCUUGCUUCUUCCCUUUACAAAUAAUUAACUGCUCAGGUCAUGUUGAACCAAAAAAUAGCAUCUGUAGCCCCUGUGUGCUUACUUUAAGUAUAUGUUACUGAAAAAUGCGGAGUGAGCACUUACAACUCAUUCUCCUGGGAAGCACAGUGAUACUAUACCCCAAAUGCUUUUCUUUAUCAUUUUAAUUUUUAUCUUCUUUACUUACAUUUCCAACAUCAGUUAAGAGGGUCUUGUAGUUUUCUAACUGAAAGGAGAUUGUAAAAUCUCCUUGCUCAAAACUCAGAUGCAGAAUAUUAUUUUUACUACAAUAAAUACAUCUACAACAAUGGUAUUAUAUCUGGUUUAUUUCAAAGUCAAGUUCUAAUAUAGGUAAACAAAUAUACUAAUAAAGAGAUAAUGCUUUUCUCAUGAAAUGUAUAAUCUAGUAGGAAUAAAGAUAAACAAUUUUUUUAAAAAUUCUAUUUCAUUAAGCAAAAAUGCAACUCAGAAGAAUAAUGUAUAUUAGCAGUCAUUUACUAUUUUUCAAUUAAAUUCCGAUAUAUAUGUAAAGUAAAUUAUUACUAAUAUCAAACAUAGUUUAAAGAAUUAGUGACUAUGUGCACUUGGAUCUCCAUAUGUAAUGUACUAUCAGCAUCUUCACAAACACAGUAAAUUUUACUACGCAAGUAAAACUUAUUUUACUAAACGAUGAUUACUCCUUCUAUAUUCAUAUUCCUAAACACAUACAGUUUCUUAAUGUAAUUAAGUUUUUAACUAAAAAAAGGGAAAUGCAUUAUUGAGGCGAUAGGAUUACUGGGUGGCUAUAAACACAUCUGCUGCACAGCUGACAUUUAUCUUCUACAAUGAGCAAUGACAAUUUUAUUUUUUAAUAAUCAGUAUGGACUAAUCCUGAUGAUUUUUUUUUAACAUUUUCAAAUAGGGCUGCAUAUGGCUUAAAAUUAAUAUAUACAUGUGUACCUAUAUAAUAUUCUUAUUUAUUAAUGGACUUCCUACAUAGCUCAUAUUGACGUUAGAUUUAAAUGAAAUUCCAGAAGGGUUUUCUAUAGGUAAGUCAUACAUUGGAUUUCCAUAUUACCUAUGAUUAUUGAAGUAUUUAUUUCUGUUUUUAAGACUUCAGAGCAAUUUUGCUGGUCAUUUGUUUUCUGUGUUUUUAUUUUGAAAUUGUUCUUUGAGGCAUUGUCCUAUUACAUUUUUAAGGUAUGUUAAUAAAAUAAUAUUUUUAA
This 2274-nucleotide long non-coding RNA is filed under the name Homo sapiens (human). RNAcentral's name for it is "HSALNT0325628". Lineage: Eukaryota; Metazoa; Chordata; Mammalia; Primates; Hominidae. The record is from RNAcentral.